CUGGGUGAAGCCCAGGCUUAAGCCAUCAAACCAUCUACGGGACCAAGGAGACCUCCACCUACUAAACACCAGGACCAGGUUGGAGGGCUCCCUCUCCACCAUCCCGGAACUAUUGGAUGAAGUAGAGUUUCCACCACUACCAGUCAGCAGUGUUGCUGAUCCCCGAAUUGGCACAAUGGAACAGCGAGGAGCCCCGGUAACCACAACGGGAGGGUCACCAAACAUGAUGAGCGGGCA
Long non-coding RNA from Platichthys flesus (European flounder), 237 nucleotides. RefSeq lists it as uncharacterized. The record is from RefSeq and is a predicted model, not a curated record. The transcript has 3 exons. NCBI's taxonomy places the organism in Eukaryota, Metazoa, Chordata, Actinopteri, Pleuronectiformes, Pleuronectidae.